This is a long non-coding RNA of Lolium perenne, 600 nucleotides long. RefSeq lists it as uncharacterized. NCBI's taxonomy places the organism in Eukaryota, Viridiplantae, Streptophyta, Magnoliopsida, Poales, Poaceae. The record is from RefSeq and is a predicted model, not a curated record.
UCCUUCGUCGAGCGUCGCUCCCGCACAGAUGGGCCAAGCCCAACAAAUCCGUUUCGCACCACUACCUCGCCUCCUUUGAUCUCCCAGGAACCCCACGCGCUAGGGUUUGGCCCCGCCGCCGCUCGACCAUGUCGAGCACCACCUGUCCACCGCAGCUCGCCAGGGCGUCGCCCGCCGCCCCUCUACCUGGCCCGGCUCUGCUCGAGCUCGGCCAGGACAGGAGAUCGCCCCGAUCGACCGCAGUUUGGCGAAGCCAGCGGGCCCUAGGCAGGUGCAUGCGGCGCGGCCGCACAUCCCCCCCCCCCCGUCGGCAGGGCCCCCCACCAAGACUCCUCGCUCAAUCACGCCGACUAUGGAACGCCUCGCGAUUUCUGGCCGUUUAGAUGGAAAUAAUGGCGGAGGAGAUGGAGAUCUCGAUUUGCUGCUUUCCAUCAAUUCCCUCGUCAAUCUCCAACGAUCGAGAUUGGGCCGGUGGUUGCAGCUUCCUUUCUUUUGGUGGCAUCUGGUAUUCUGUUUUCGUUGGGGUGUGCCCUUCUGAUGUUUGGUGAAAGGUUCAACCAUGAUCCUUGGCGGGGUUCUAAAAUUUAGGGGCUGCAGCUG